CAGUCGCCGCGGUAAUACGAGGGGGGCAAGCGUUGUUCGGAAUUAUUGGGCGUAAAGGGUGCGUAGGCGGUUUGACAAGUCUUAUGUGAAAUCUCUGGGCUCAACCCAGAGUCUGCAUGGGAAACUGUCGGGCUUGAGUAUGGGAGAGGUGAGUGGAAUUUCCGGUGUAGCGGUGAAAUGCGUAGAUAUCGGAAGGAACACCUGUGGCGAAAGCGGCUCACUGGACCAUUUCUGACGCUGAUGCACGAAAGCUAGGGGAGCAAACAGGAUUAGAUACCCCAGUAGUCCCUGUCUCUUAUAU
This 301-nucleotide ribosomal RNA is filed under the name uncultured bacterium. RNAcentral describes it as "partial 16S ribosomal RNA". It matches the Rfam family "Bacterial small subunit ribosomal RNA", at positions 509 to 809 of the family's 1533-position model. The record is from RNAcentral.